Bos indicus x Bos taurus (hybrid cattle) is the source of this 465-nucleotide long non-coding RNA. The record is from Ensembl. NCBI's taxonomy places the organism in Eukaryota, Metazoa, Chordata, Mammalia, Artiodactyla, Bovidae.
UCCUUAUCAGUUAUCUGUGUUAAAUAUAGUAGUGUGCAUAUGUCAAUCCCAAUCUUCCACUUUAUCCCUCUCCCCCUUACCCCGUGGUAACCAUAAACUUGUUUUGUACAUGUGACUCUAUUUCUGGUCACUUUUAAGAAGCCCAGUUUCUAUAGGUGAUGAAAGAAGAGCCCGGUGACAAAGGUUUGGGGAACGCGUGGGAGGAGAGCGAGAAAUGUGGCUGAGAAGAGAAGAAAUAGUCACUGAGAAGGAGAAAGGAGAAAAACAGUUCUUUAUAUGUGGAUGGAUAUGGGUCUGCAGUGGGGAAACAGAAGUUUGAAACGUAUUCAAAUCUGAGCCAGAUUCCUGAAGCAACGUCAAGCAACGUCAGUUUCUUCAUGCAUCUGUAGCACUCAAGAGCAUGUUACUUUCAUUUUCCCAGUUUUACUGAGAAAUAAUUGACCUGCAUCAUUGUAUAAAUUUAAG